This 448-nucleotide ribosomal RNA is filed under the name uncultured bacterium. RNAcentral's name for it is "partial 16S ribosomal RNA". It matches the Rfam family "Bacterial small subunit ribosomal RNA", at positions 338 to 795 of the family's 1533-position model. The record is from RNAcentral.
CCUACGGGUGGCAGCAGUGGGGAAUUUUGGACAAUGGGCGCAAGCCUGAUCCAGCCAUUCCGCGUGAGUGAAGAAGGCCUUCGGGUUGUAAAGCUCUUUCGCAAGGGAAGAAAACUUAUCCUCUAACAUAGGAUGAGGUUGACGGUACCUUGAUAAGAAGCACCGGCUAACUACGUGCCAGCAGCCGCGGUAAUACGUCGGGUGCGAUCGUUAAUCGGCGUUACUGGGCGUAUUUGUUGGGCAGACUGGUAAUCCCCGAGCUCAACUUGGGAACUGCGUUUGAAACUACAAGACUAGAAUAGGUCAGAGGGGGGUAGAAUUCCACGUGUAGCAGUGAAAUGCGUAGAGAUGUGGAGGAAUAUCAAUGGCGAAGGCAGCCCCCUGGGAUCAUAUUGACGCUCAUGCACGAAAGCGUGGGGAGCAAACAGGAUUAGAUACCCUAGUAGUC